UACGGAGGGUGCGAGCGUUGUCCGGAAUCAUUGGGCGUAAAGGGCGCGUAGGUGGCCCGGUCAGUCCGUGGUGAAAGCGCGGGGCUCAACCCUGCGUCGGCCAUGGAUACUGCCGCGGCUCGAGCACUGUAGAGGCAGGCGGAAUUCCGGGUGUAGCGGUGGAAUGCGUAGAGAUCCGGAAGAACACCGGUGGCGAAGGCGGCCUGCUGGGCAGUUAGCUGACACUGAGGCGCGACAGCGUGGGGAGCAAACAGG
Molecule: ribosomal RNA, 255 nt
Filed under: uncultured bacterium
Lineage: Bacteria
Description: partial 16S ribosomal RNA
Rfam family: Bacterial small subunit ribosomal RNA
Source: RNAcentral